Molecule: ribosomal RNA, 1244 nt
Filed under: metagenome
Description: bacterial LSU rRNA
Rfam family: Bacterial large subunit ribosomal RNA
Source: RNAcentral
UGAGUACGAGAUGCUACGGCAUCGAAGCAGUCUAUGUCAUACUUCCAAGAAAAGCUUGCACUGUCAGAAACAGAUAAUGCCUGUACCAUAACCGACACAGGUGGGUAGGUAGAGUAUACUAAGGGGCGCGAGAUAACUCUCUCUAAGGAACUCGGCAAAAUGACUCCGUAACUUCGGGAGAAGGAGUGCCUUAUUUUUAAGGUUGCAAUAACAAGAUCCAAGCAACUGUUUACCAAAAACACAGGUCUCCGCUAAGUCGUAAGACGAUGUAUGGGGGCUGACGCCUGCCCAGUGCCAGAAGGUUAAAGAAGUCGGUUAGCAUUCGCGAAGCUGGUAACUGAAGCCCUGGUGAACGGCGGCCGUAACGAUAACGGUCCUAAGGUAGCGAAAUUCCUUGUCGGGUAAGUUCCGACCCGCACGAAAGGCGUAAUGAUUUGGAUACUGUCUCGGAGAGGGGCUCGGUGAAAUAGACUUGUCUGUGAAGAUGCGGACUACCUGCACCUGGACAGAAAGACCCUAUGAAGCUUUACUGUAACUUGAAAUUGAAAUUGGACUUUAUUUGCGCAGUAUAGGUGGGAGGCGUUGAAAAUAUUCUUGCGGGAAUAUUGGAGCCAUCAGUGAGAUACCACUCUUGUAAUGUUAGAUUUCUAACUUUAUAUCAUUAUCUGGUUAAAGAACAGUUUCAGGCGGGCAGUUUGACUGGGGCGGUCGCCUCCCAAAUGGUAACGGAGGCGCACAAAGGUUUCCUCUGAACGGGUAGAAAUCGUAUCUAGAGUGUAAAGGCAUAAGGAAGCUUGACUGUGAGACCUACAAGUCGAGCAGGGACGAAAGUCGGUCUUAGUGAUCUGACGGUGCUGAGUGGAAAGGCCGUCACUCAACGGAUAAAAGUUACUCUAGGAUAACAGGCUGAUCUCCCCCAAGAGUUCACAUCGACGGGGAGGUUUGGCACCUCGAUGUCGGCUCAUCGCAUCCUGGGGCGGUAGUACGUCCCAAGGGUUGGGCUGUUCGCCCAUGAAAGCGGUACGCGAGCUGGGUUCAGAACGUCGUGAGACAGUUCGGUCCAUAUCCGGUGUAGGCGUUAGAAUAUUGAGAGGAGCCUUCUUUAGUACGAGAGGACCGAGAAGGACAUACCUCUGGUGUACCAGUUAUCGUGCCAACGGUAAACGCUGGGUAGCUAUGUAUGGAGUGGAUAACCGCUGAAAGCAUCUAAGUGGGAAGCCCACCUCAAGAUAAGUAUUCUCAUC